UACAGAGGUCUCAAGCGUUGUUCGGAUUCAUUGGGCGUAAAGGGUGCGUAGGCGGCUCGGUAAGUCGGGUGUGAAAUCUCGGAGCUUAACUCCGAAACUGCAUUCGAUACUGCCGUGCUUGAGGACUGGAGAGGAGACUGGAAUUUACGGUGUAGCGGUGAAAUGCGUAGAUAUCGGAAGGAAGACCAGUGGCGAAGGCGGGUCUCUGGACAGUUCCUGACGCUGAGGCACGAAGGUCAGGGGAGCAAACGGG
This 253-nucleotide ribosomal RNA is filed under the name uncultured bacterium. RNAcentral describes it as "partial 16S ribosomal RNA". It matches the Rfam family "Bacterial small subunit ribosomal RNA", at positions 524 to 776 of the family's 1533-position model. The record is from RNAcentral.